UCCGCCGUGGUGUAAAGGCAGCACCUUGGAUUUUGGUUCCAAUGGUCCAGGUUCGAAUCCUGGCGGCGGAG
RNAcentral lists this transfer RNA (71 nucleotides) under Pseudonocardia sp. RNAcentral describes it as "tRNA-Gln". It matches the Rfam family "tRNA". From Rfam's summary of the family: Transfer RNA (tRNA) molecules are approximately 80 nucleotides in length. Their secondary structure includes four short double-helical elements and three loops (D, anti-codon, and T loops). The record is from RNAcentral. Lineage: Bacteria; Bacillati; Actinomycetota; Actinomycetes; Pseudonocardiales; Pseudonocardiaceae. RNAcentral also lists the same sequence under 4 other names.